CAUUAAAUCAUGCAAGAUCCAAAUAUGAAGUUCCCAUUACAACAUAUCAAUGCACCAAUGACAUCACCAUCACAAGUUCUAGGUAUUUACUAGAAAAAAAAAAAUCACACUUAAUAAAAAUGAGAAGGGCGCAAUUAGAAAAUUAUCGAACGGUCAUGAAAACAAAGCCUAUUUCUUUAACCGAACCACCAUAUGUAUUCGUCAAAACUGGGAAAUUUCCUCCGUCAAACAGAGGAUUACCAACUUGCAUUAACACAAUCCUAUGUAUAAAUUGCGGGGAACAAAAAAGGCAAAAUCCCAAAACAAGACAACAAACAAAGAUAAGGGAAAAAAAGAAAGAAAUAUGUACUAUUACUCUUUUUUCCCUCAGUCAAGAGUUGUUAG
RNAcentral lists this unclassified non-coding RNA (384 nucleotides) under Hevea brasiliensis (rubber tree). Lineage: Eukaryota; Viridiplantae; Streptophyta; Magnoliopsida; Malpighiales; Euphorbiaceae. The record is from RNAcentral.